CAAUUUAUAGCCUUAAACCAAAUAGCUCCUAUUAAGAUAUUUACAAUUUUGUCACAAUAUAUGGAAAAUUGGUGAGUUCACUUAUUAUCUACUAUAUAUAGUAGGUUUGCAAAAGGGUCUAUGAUUUCUGAUGGUGGACAAAGCAAGAACUGGGGGUAGGGUAUAGGAUGAGAUAAUAAGGAAGUAGGAGGUGAGGAUAUAGAAUUAUUAGAUCUUAGGAAGCGUGAAAGAGGAAUCAAGAGAAGUUGGCUAGUAGCAGGAGAAAAGACAGAAAGUGAUUUUGGGAAGACAAGUAAGUGGGAAGACAACAGAGAGAGUACAAAAAACAAGCAGCAAACAUAAAAAUUAAGAAAAAUAAAAAAUGUAAAAAUAGGAAAUAAAAGAACAUACAACACAACUGUAAUAUACUAUUCAGACAUCCCAGUCCUCAGUAGCCUAAUCCAUGAAAAAUACUUCUUUCACAAAUGUUGGGGAUGUUAGGUCAGGAGAAGAGAAGAGAGAAAGAGAGAAAGAGAGAAAGAGAGAAAGAGAGAAAGAAAGAAAGAAAGAAAGAAAGAAAGAAAGAAAGAAAGAAAUCUUGAAGGAAAAUUAAAGGAUUGUUUCUGUUGGACUUCAGUAUCUUUCCUGCUUCCCUUCUCAUCCAAUAGACGGGGUUGUCUGUUGUUUGCUGGUAUCUCCACCCUCAGGAUGGGGAAGGUUAUUAGGGUGGGAGGGUUGGUCUUAGAGGUGGAACUCCUGGAUAUGGGGUAUAGCACUUGCUGUCCCAAUUGGAACACUGCACUCCUUUGGGCCUGCUCACGUGAAGUGGGCACCUGGUCUUAUCUCUUUAUAUGGCCUGUAGACCUCACAAUUCCUGCUCUUUAAUUUAGUCUCUUAACUAUAUCUCACUCACCUCCUCCCUUUCUACUUCCCAAUCAGGAACCUCUCCAUGGAGGUCUUGUAGACUGCACUCUGGGGCCUGUGCACCUGUCACAGAGAGCUGUUUCAUAUUGGGCAGGUCAGGGCCAGUCUUUGUGAGCUAUAGACUGGCCACAUAGCUGUAAGGGCUAUGCCAGGUUAGUGGUUGCAGGAGAGAGAGGGGAGUUGGGGAACUAUAGUGCCUUGAUAUUGCUUCUAGACCCCAGCCAGUGUCCCAAGCUGGGAGUUGCCCCCAGUGGUGGUAGCAAGGAUAACCCAAGUUGGUGACAAAAGUGUCCCAAGAUGGAGGCGGCUGCUUUCAGAUAUUGGGUGUCAUGUUGGGCCAGGUGGUGGCAUUGGGCAUCUUCAUCAUAGAUGCAGCUUUGUGGCGUGCAG
This 1293-nucleotide long non-coding RNA is filed under the name Marmota monax (woodchuck). The record is from RNAcentral. Lineage: Eukaryota; Metazoa; Chordata; Mammalia; Rodentia; Sciuridae.